AUGCACACCCCGGUGCACACAUGCAUACACAUGCAGGCAUGCACACCCCAGUGCGCACACAUGCACACACACAUGAACACACACCCAUGCACACCGCAGGGCACACUCAUGCACACCCCCACGCACACUCCCCAGUGCACACACACAUGCAUGCCCCAGUGCGCACACAUGCACACCCCCAUGCACACCCCCAUUGCACGCAGAUGCACCCACACACGCACCCCCAGUGCACACACUCAUGCACACCUGUGUGCAUACACGCGUGUGCACACACCCAGUGCACACACAUGCACACCCCCAUGCACCCUGCCAGUGCACACGUGCACACACACCCCCAGUGCCCCCAUGCACAAGCACACACACCCAUGCACACACACCCCCAUGCACACCCCCAUGCAUGCACAUACAUGUACCCAUGCACAUGCACACCCCCAUGCAUGCACACAACCAUGCACACACACUCUGCACACAUCCGCACACCCAUGCACACGCGCACACCCACACAUGCACACCCACAUACAUGCACCCAUGCACACCCAUGCACACACACUGCACACACGCACACCCCCAUACAUGCACACCCCCAUGCAUGCACACCCCUGCACACCCACGUGUAUGCACACGCCCAUACAUGCACACCCCCAUGAAUGCACACCCAUGCACACCAACAUGUAUGCACACGCCCCUACAUGCACACCCCCAUGCAUGCACACCCAUGCAUGCACACACGCGCACCCAUACACACGCAGACACCCAUGCACGCACACACCCGUGCAUGCAGACACCCAUGCAUGCACACGCACACCCAUGUGUAUGCACACCCCCAUACAUGCACACCCAUGCAUGCAUACCCAUGCACACCCAUGUGUAUGCACACCCCCAUACAUGCACACCCAUACAUGCACACCCAUACAUGCACACCCCCAUACAUGCACACCCAUGCAUGCACACCCAUGCACACCCAUGUGUAUGCAGACACCCAUACAUGCACACCCAUACAUGCACACCCCCAUACAUGCACGCACGUGCACCCAUGCACACGCAGACACCCAUGCAUGCACACACCCGUGCAUGCAGACACCCAUGCAUGCACACCCAUGCACACCCAUGCGUAUGCACACCCCCAUACAUGCACACCCAUGCACACCCAUACAUGCACACCCCCAUACAUGCAC
RNAcentral lists this long non-coding RNA (1175 nucleotides) under Anser brachyrhynchus (Pink-footed goose). RNAcentral describes it as "lncRNA (ENSABRG00000015586.1)". Lineage: Eukaryota; Metazoa; Chordata; Aves; Anseriformes; Anatidae. The record is from RNAcentral.